UUUGCCAGGGAACUACGAGCCCCAGCUUAAAACCCAAAGGACUUGGCGGUGCUUUAGACCCCCCUAGAGGAGCCUGUUCUAGAACCGAUAACCCCCGUUAAACCUCACCCUCUCUUGUCUUUUCCCGCCUAUAUACCGCCGUCGUCAGCUUACCCUGUGAAGGACACAUAGUGAGCAUAAUUGGCAUAGCCCAAAACGCCAGGUCGAGGUGUAGCAAACGAGAGGGGAAGAAAUGGGCUACAUUCACUGACACAGUGAACUACGGAAGAUGCACUGAAAUAAAUAUCCAAAGGAGGAUUUAGCAGUAAGGGGAGAAACAGAGAGUCCCCCUGAAACUGGCCCUGAAGCGCGCACACACCGCCCGUCACUCUCCCCAAACAUUUUUAAGCCUAAAAAUAAAUAAAAAACAAACCAUAUAAAGGGGAGGCAAGUCGUAACAUGGUAAGUGUACCGGAAGGUGCACUUGGAAAAAU
Molecule: ribosomal RNA, 473 nt
Filed under: Periophthalmus barbarus (Atlantic mudskipper)
Lineage: Eukaryota; Metazoa; Chordata; Actinopteri; Gobiiformes; Gobiidae
Description: partial 12S ribosomal RNA
Rfam family: Bacterial small subunit ribosomal RNA
Source: RNAcentral